Molecule: long non-coding RNA, 1598 nt
Organism: Callithrix jacchus (white-tufted-ear marmoset)
Lineage: Eukaryota; Metazoa; Chordata; Mammalia; Primates; Cebidae
Source: RefSeq, a predicted model, not a curated record
UCAAGGGAAGGUUCCUAAUGGAGAGACUCACCUCAGAGGUUUCUCUUUUACUACUGAAUGAAUAACAGCUGUUGUUAUUUUUCACCUAAUCCUUUUUAUAGUCUCUGAAAGUCCACCUACAAUAACCCUUUCAGGUAUUAUCAAGAAGUACUGCCCCUGGCUGAGCCCACUAGGGCUUUCAUGACAACCCCAAGGCCAUACUGUAAGGGGUUGCUCGGGCCUCUAACAAAAUGUACAAGAAUAAAGCUGCUUCCUACUGAGAUAAUAUGCCUCUGAGAGUAAGAACCAUGUCUCCUACUUGUCCCACUUUGCCUCCCCCAACUCACUCAAUCUGGAAGCCAGCUGCCAUGCUGUGAGGAUGCUCAAGCAGCCCUACAGAGAGGUCCAUGUGGCAAGGAACUCAGGUCUCCAGCCAACAACCAUGUAGUCUGCCAUUGUGGAGGUUGCUCCUCCAGUCCCAGGAGAAACCUGGCAGAUACCACCUUAAUCAACUGAUAAAUGUCAAACAUCACCAGUAAUGGGACAAAUCAACAUCACAUGCCUGCUGAUACACUGCAUUGAAAAGAACUCCCAUGGGUCAGAGCCUCUCUUGCUCAUCGCAUUAUUCCCAACGGUGGUUCAUAUGCAGCGGCAGCUCCUGGUUCCUGGGCACUGUGUACCAGACACUGUACCAAAAAGCACCAGACAUGCAUCAUCUCAUUGGAUCUUCACUUUGCCUCUAAGCUCUGAGAAGUGAAACAACUUGUCCAAGGUCACAUGAGCGACAAGAGGCAGAGGUAGGAUAUAAACCCUGCUCUAUGUCCCUAUUGGACUGGCUCCCUUGGGCACUCAAUAAAUGCUGAAUUGAGCCCUUUCUGCAGCUCCAAGAGGUUUCUGGGAAACCAGGGUAGUUUCCCGGGACAGAGUUGCAUUCUCCUUUCCUUUGAUAAAUAUCAGCACCAGCAAUAAGAGGGAGAAAAGUGCUAGAUGUCAAAUCCAAAGAUUGCAGUUUCAGCUCUGCUCCUCAUGCACAGGGAUCUCACUCACACUGGCUGGGUCUCCAUCUGCCCCAACUAGACCAGGCCAGCGGUUUUCAAACUUCUUUUAGCAGCCAAAUUUUUUUUUUUUUUUUUAGCAAACCCUUUUGCAAAACCUCAGCAUGGAAUCAUUCACAAUAGCCGAAAGGUAGAAGCAACCCAGGUGUCCAUGAACAGAUGACUGGAUGAACAAAGUGUGCUAUAUCAAUACAGUGGAAUUGUCUUAAUCCUUCAAAGACAGGAUAUUCUGAUAUAUGCCACAACAUGAAUGAACUUGAAGACAUGCUAAGUGAAAUAAGCCAGUCACAAAAGGGAAAAGCUGUAUGACUCUACUUUAUGUUAUCUCUAUACUGUAUGAAGGACCUAGUUAAGUUCAUAGAGACAGAGAGUAGAAUGCUGGGUGCCCAGGACUUAGAGAAGUGGGGAGUGGGUAUCAGUUAGGGAAGAAGAAAAAGUUGGGGAGAUGGAUAAAGGUGAUAGUUGCACAAGAAUAUGAACGUACUUAAUGCCACUGAACUGCACACUUAAAAACGGUUAAAAUGCCAAAUUUUAUGUCUAUUUUGCCACAAUUCAAUAAAUAAA